UGGGAGGUUCUCUUUCUGUCUGUCUUUCUGACUCCGUCUCUCCCAGCGCUUUGUUUCUACUCAGGGCCACAGCCUGCUGUCCUGGCCCCGUCGCAAGGGCUCCUAGCAGCACUGACCUCCAAGGAUGUUUCCAGGCAUUUCUCUAAAGGUGGACAUCAGUCCCCGGCCUUAGCCGCCCGCUAGAAAAAGUUACAGACUAGGUGGAGUAACUGAGGGCUGGAAAGGCUGAGACUCAUCUAAGGAAUCGCUGCUUCCAAGGGGCUGUUUUUCUCACCAAACUCCACUUAUUCUUUGUGAGCGAGCUGCUGCCCACCCGCCCCGGCGGGGGGCGCACGUAGAGCAGUCCGUGGGCUUGCAGGGCAGCUUCAGGGAGAUGCGCUCUCCUCUUCACCCCCGCCCCCCUGCGUCUCUGUGUUUUCUUGCUAAUGUGCUGCUCUCAACUAUAAUGGGAGGCCAGUUGCUCGUGUGUGUGUGGUCCCCCAGGGGAACCGUGGAAACAUUCCCUGUCCCAGUGCAGGAAUUUCCUGUUGGCCCUUCUUCCUUAUUAUGAGCGGCUACGAUGACAGAAUUUCCAACAGGUGGAAGCCAAAAAAACAAACAGACCUUUCAAUGUUGACUCUCCCAGGCACCGUGCAGAAGGACCGCAUCUGUCUUGCCUCCCAGAGAAAAUGUAAAUGACCUAUUUUUUUUAAAGCUACAGUUGUCUCUUGACCCAUUGGAAAAGAAAAAAGAAUCAAGACUACAACUGCUUAACGUUAUUUCAGGAAAAACAAUACAGAGGGUAUAAAACAGCUCACUAGACAGCAAUAAAAGAUGAGAUUUGUAGUAGGAUUUUGCUACUGAUUCAAGAGGUUGUGAGUCCUCCUAAGUCCCAUGGAAUCUCCUUGGUGACGCCUUUGGCCUGCCCCGUCUCCUUUCGCAGUUUGUCACCUGGGCUCAGGUUUCCUCGCCUCUUUCUGCACAAUGACCUGGACUGUAUACUUUUUUUUUGCGGUAAGCGGGCCCCUCACCGU
Molecule: non-coding RNA, 1013 nt
Organism: Delphinapterus leucas (beluga whale)
Lineage: Eukaryota; Metazoa; Chordata; Mammalia; Artiodactyla; Monodontidae
Source: RefSeq, a predicted model, not a curated record